RNAcentral lists this ribosomal RNA (434 nucleotides) under uncultured bacterium. RNAcentral describes it as "partial 16S ribosomal RNA". It matches the Rfam family "Bacterial small subunit ribosomal RNA", at positions 29 to 508 of the family's 1533-position model. The record is from RNAcentral.
AACGAACGCUGGCGGCAUGCCUAACACAUGCCAGUCGAACGAGACCUUCGGGUCUAGUGGCGCACGGGUGCGUAACGCGUGGGAACCUGCCCUUAGGUUCGGAAUAACUCCCCGAAAGGGGUGCUAAUACCGGAUAAUGUCUUCGGACCAAAGAUUUAUCGCCUUUGGAUGGGCCCGCGUUGGUUUAGCUAGUUGGUAGGGUAAAAGCCUACCAAGGCGACGAUCCAUAGCUGGUCUGAGAGGAUGAUCAGCCACACUGGGACUGAGACACGGCCCAGACUCCUACGGGAGGCAGCAGUGGGGAAUAUUGGACAAUGGGCGAAAGCCUGAUCCAGCAAUGCCGCGUGAGUGAUGAAGGCCUUAGGGUUGUAAAGCUCUUUUACCCGGGAUGAUAAUGACAGUACCGGGAGAAUAAGCUCCGGCUAACUCCGUGC